AAUAAGAGGUGGGAGGCAGCCUCACAAGUUAGCAAUGCAGGGAAUGUUACAAGGAGUUAGCUUCAGUAUGAAAAAAACAUUUGUUUAGAGGCAUGGGAUAGAAUCACUGAAAUGCUGAGACAACUGUUCCUUCUCCUCCCUUGAGCUAAGACCCUGAAAGCUGAACCAGUACCAUCUCCUUGGAGCACCUUCUGAGGGUCCCUCUAGCCUACAAAGUGUAGUCAAGUGGAAUUUGUGCGCUUUCCUGAUUCAGGCCCAAUCCAGUCUUCCUAUGCCAGCCACAGAGCAGUCCCAUACUCCCUUCUGCUCAAUCCUACCCUGCCUCUUCUGCCUAGCAGCUGUGUCUCAUAAGAUGUUAAUACUGCAGAUGUCCUGAGAAGUAUGUGUCUUCCAUGGUCAAAAGCGUACAGGUAGCAGACCAGCAAGUUAACUACAUAAUCACAUCUCUCAGUAGAACGUGACUACCAUUCCUGCAAGAACCUUAAACAAACACUUAUCACCAUCAAGAUGCCUAUUCUGGCAGAAGCCCAUUCCUCCAUCUGCAUGGAUGAUCAGAACAGAAAACAAUCCGGGAAUAUGUUGCUGUUUAGAAUUGGAGCAUCAAAAGCCAAUGCAGAAGAUACAGAAGGAGCAGCCAGGAAGAAAAUCAGGACAGUGGUGUUUCACAGAAACCUAGAGAGAAGAGAAUUUCACAGAAAAAUUAGCAGAGCAUGCCAACUACUGAUACUGAUUAGGGAAAUUUAGAAAUGUCAAAAAUCUUCUAACUCAGCCAUGAAGAGAUCACUGCUGAUUUUCUGUCAGGGAAAAACCCCAA
This 814-nucleotide long non-coding RNA is filed under the name Homo sapiens (human). Its description in RNAcentral is "HSALNT0276647". Lineage: Eukaryota; Metazoa; Chordata; Mammalia; Primates; Hominidae. The record is from RNAcentral.